This 253-nucleotide ribosomal RNA is filed under the name uncultured prokaryote. RNAcentral describes it as "partial 16S ribosomal RNA". It matches the Rfam family "Bacterial small subunit ribosomal RNA", at positions 525 to 777 of the family's 1533-position model. The record is from RNAcentral.
ACGGGGGGAGCAAGCGUUGUUCGGAUUUACUGGGCGUAAAGGGCUCGUAGGUGGCCAACUAAGUCAGACGUGAAAUCUCUCGGCUUAACCGGGGAACUGCGUCUGAUACUGGAUGGCUAGAGAUUGGGAGAGGGAUGCGGAAUUCCAGGUGUAGCGGUGAAAUGCGUAGAUAUCUGGAGGAACACCGGUGGCGAAGGCGGCAUCCUGGACCAACACUGACACUGAAGAGCGAAAGCCAGGGGAGCAAACGGGA